Molecule: ribosomal RNA, 435 nt
Filed under: uncultured bacterium
Lineage: Bacteria
Description: partial 16S ribosomal RNA
Rfam family: Bacterial small subunit ribosomal RNA
Source: RNAcentral
AGCGAACGCUGGCCGCAGGCUUAACACAUGCAAGUCGAGCGGGCACUUUCGGGUGUCAGCGGCGGACGGGUGAGUAACGCGUGGGAACGUGCCCUCUGGUUCGGAAUAACUCAGGGAAACUUGAGCUAAUACCGGAUACGCCCUUUUGGGCAAAGGCUUGCUGCCGGAGGAUCGGCCCGCGUCUGAUUAGCUAGUUGGUGAGGUAACGGCUCACCAAGGCGACGAUCAGUAGCUGGUCUGAGAGGAUGAUCAGCCACACUGGGACUGAGACACGGCCCAGACUCCUACGGGAGGCAGCAGUGGGGAAUAUUGGACAAUGGGCGCAAGCCUGAUCCAGCCAUGCCGCGUGAGUGAUGAAGGCCUUAGGGUUGUAAAGCUCUUUUAUCCGGGACGAUAAUGACGGUACCGGAGGAAUAAGCCCCGGCUAACUUCGUG